UACAUGCAAGUAGGACGCACAGUUUAUACCGUAGCUUGCUACACCAUAGACUUGAGUUGCGAACGGGUGAGUAACGCGUAGGUAACCUGCCUAUUAGAGGGGGAUAACUAUUGGAAACGAUAGCUAAUACCGCAUAACAGUAUGUAACACAUGUUAGAUGCUUGAAAGAUGCAAUUGCAUCGCUAGUAGAUGGACCUGCGUUGUAUUAGCUAGUAGGUAGGGUAAAGGCCUACCUAGGCAACGAUACAUAGCCGACCUGAGAGGGUGAUCGGCCACACUGGGACUGAGACACGGCCCAGACUCCUACGGGAGGCAGCAGUAGGGAAUCUUCGGCAAUGGGGGGAACCCUGACCGAGCAACGCCGCGUGAGUGAAGAAGGUUUUCGGAUCGUAAAGCUCUGUUGUUAAGGAAGAACGAGUGUGAGAAUGGAAAGUU
RNAcentral lists this ribosomal RNA (435 nucleotides) under Streptococcus anginosus. RNAcentral describes it as "bacterial SSU rRNA". It matches the Rfam family "Bacterial small subunit ribosomal RNA", at positions 52 to 470 of the family's 1533-position model. The record is from RNAcentral. Lineage: Bacteria; Bacillati; Bacillota; Bacilli; Lactobacillales; Streptococcaceae.